RNAcentral lists this ribosomal RNA (582 nucleotides) under uncultured bacterium. RNAcentral's name for it is "bacterial SSU rRNA". It matches the Rfam family "Bacterial small subunit ribosomal RNA", at positions 8 to 585 of the family's 1533-position model. The record is from RNAcentral.
AGGGUUUGAUCAUGGCUCAGAUUGAACGCUGGCGGAAUGCUUUACACAUGCAAGUCGAACGAUGAAGCCUAGCUUGCUAGGUGAAUUAGUGGCAGACGGGUGAGUAAUAUAUCGGAACGUGUCCAUUAAUGGGGGAUAACUAAUCGAAAGGUUAGCUAAUACCGCAUACGCCCUGAGGGGGAAAGCUGGGGAUCUUCGGACCUAGCGUUAAUGGAGCGGCCGAUACCUGAUUAGCUAGUUGGUGGGGUAAAAGCCUACCAAGGCAACGAUCAGUAGCUGGUCUGAGAGGACGACCAGCCACACUGGGACUGAGACACGGCCCAGACUCCUACGGGAGGCAGCAGUGGGGAAUUUUGGACAAUGGGGGCAACCCUGAUCCAGCCAUUCCGCGUGAGUGAAGAAGGCCUUCGGGUUGUAAAGCUCUUUCGCAAGGGAAGAAACGAUAUAGGUUAAUAGCUUAUGUUAAUGACGGUACCUUGACAAGAAGCACCGGCUAACUACGUGCCAGCAGCCGCGGUAAUACGUAGGGUGCAAGCGUUAAUCGGAAUUACUGGGCGUAAAGCGUGCGCAGGCUGUUUUGUA